GCUGCUGUAGCUCAGGGGUAGAGCACUCCCUUGGUAAGGGAGAGGUCGAGAGUUCCUCGUGCAUUG
This 66-nucleotide transfer RNA is filed under the name Azospirillum brasilense. Its description in RNAcentral is "tRNA-Thr". It matches the Rfam family "tRNA", at positions 1 to 58 of the family's 71-position model. From Rfam's summary of the family: Transfer RNA (tRNA) molecules are approximately 80 nucleotides in length. Their secondary structure includes four short double-helical elements and three loops (D, anti-codon, and T loops). The record is from RNAcentral. Lineage: Bacteria; Pseudomonadati; Pseudomonadota; Alphaproteobacteria; Rhodospirillales; Azospirillaceae.